This 450-nucleotide ribosomal RNA is filed under the name uncultured Shewanellaceae bacterium. Its description in RNAcentral is "bacterial SSU rRNA". It matches the Rfam family "Bacterial small subunit ribosomal RNA", at positions 368 to 809 of the family's 1533-position model. Lineage: Bacteria; Pseudomonadati; Pseudomonadota; Gammaproteobacteria; Alteromonadales; Shewanellaceae. The record is from RNAcentral.
GCGAACGGUUGCAGUCUGUAUGCAUCCAUGCCGCGUGUAUGAAGAAGGCCUUCGGGUUGUAAAGUACUUUCAGCGAGGAGGAAAGGUUGUUGGUUAAUACCCAACAGCUGUGACGUUACUCGCAGAAGAAGCACCGGCUAACUCCGUGCCAGCAGCCGCGGUAAUACGGAGGGUGCGAGCGUUAAUCGGAAUUACUGGGCGUAAAGCGCAUGCAGGCGGUUUGUUAAGCGAGAUGUGAAAGCCCCGGGCUCAACCUGGGAACUGCAUUUCGAACUGGCAAACUAGAGUCUUGUAGAGGGGGGUAGAAUUUCAGGUGUAGCGGUGAAAUGCGUAGAGAUCUGAAGGAAUACCAGUGGCGAAGGCGGCCCCCUGGACAAAGACUGACGCUCAGAUGCGAAAGCGUGGGGAGCAAACAGGAUUAGAUACCCGAGUAGUCCAGGUAUUGAUUGU